This is a long non-coding RNA of Acanthaster planci (crown-of-thorns starfish), 1955 nucleotides long. The record is from RefSeq and is a predicted model, not a curated record. NCBI's taxonomy places the organism in Eukaryota, Metazoa, Echinodermata, Asteroidea, Valvatida, Acanthasteridae.
AGAGAAGGUUUAAGUUAAAGAGUGAGAUUUGUGCGUUAUCCUCUCUGUAGGGGCCUCUGCACCAUACACAUAGCUUUAUUAUGGGAGAGUAUUUACAGUGGGUGGUGAAUUUUAACCCACCCCAAACAAUUCUUACACAAAAUUGCGCAAAUUUCACAAGAUUCAAAUUAAAAAUUUAAAUAUAAACCAUCUGCUUUUAAGUUUAGUUUUACAAAGAAGCAAUGUCAGUCCUACUGUUUAAUUUGAAUUUACAUUUAUGAGACAUCUGAGACUUUAGUAAGUACUUACAUUGUUAAUUCAUUUUCAGUGCCCAUUUGAUGACCAAUUCUGGCCUGUCUAUCACAUACAUGUAUUGUGUACAAUUGCUUCUUUUAAUACUUUAGCAACCAGACAUACCCUAUAAACAUUUUAACAGUUAAUUCCUGCCUUCUUCAUUCUUAGUACUAGUAAGUUCCAGUUUACAGUUUACCAUUUUGGGUGAGAGGCAACUAUAUACAGUCCAUGUACCAUGCCAAGAAAUGAACAUAACCUGAAAACACAGCAUUGUCUGUACAAUACGGGGGGUGGGGGAGCAAAGACAAAGCAGGCUUGAUCUGUGCACAUAUAUGCCAUUCAGAGAAACAGGGAAGCUAGUGCACAUACUAUUGUACAUACUAGACAAAUCGUACAUACUAGACAAAUUCUGAUCCGCACGAAAUUCUUUGGGUAGACAGUCAGCCCCCAAAUCAUGUUUGCAAAGUUACAUUUUCAUAGCCAAUCCAUUGAUGUCUUAUUAAUUUUUGAAUAUCUAUCAAUACUGUCAGAGAAUUUGUGCGCGGUGACCUCAGCCCUCAACUAACUGAGCAAUGCACAUCGUUCUGUUUUGCCCUGUGGCUGGCCACAAGUGCUACACUCAUACACAUAGCUAGCUGGGUACAGUUGUCGUGCCAGCGGCGUUUCGCACAGUGCUCAGCAUAAUGUCGGCUCUACGUUGGAAUGAAUGCACUCCUUUUAGCAUUUACGGUUAACAAACGCACACAUAUUUAUCUUUAUUGAAAAUGCUGCUGAAUAGACCACAUGUAUCGACAACAUGGUAUUCAUUUCUAUUUUCUUCAGGUGAGAGCAUGUUAGCAGCCACAGGAAUAGCAGGUUUGAAAUGAUGGACCUCCCUCUUCAUUACAUUUCAGCCCAGCAGAGCUGAUCCCACUUGAAAGAUGCUGGUCACAAGAGUCACAGGCUAAAAAAGUGGAAAGUGCAGUGGUCCUUGUUUCAUUUGACCACUGAUAUUCAGACACGUUUGUUGUACUUCGGUGCUUUCAUGUACAUCUUGGCAGACCUUCAGACAAUCAUCCAAGGAUGGUUCUUGAACACUUCAUCAUGAUGACUUCAUCAUGUAAUUUAAUUUUGAAUAUUUAAUUUUUUGCCAUGGGGUUUGUACACAUUUGUCUACUACUGACUAAUGUGUGAGUAGUCCUCAAUUUUUGCUCAAGAUUUCUAUGAGAAUGAAAGAGAAAUUGUAUGCUUUAUGCUCUGUUAUUCGAUUUGAAAUAUACACAAGAGAAAACGUAUCACUUAAUAAUUCAGUUUAUUAAAGCAAAUCACGUUGCAUUAACUUAGAGAAGUUUGUUGCAAGUGUUUUAGCCCAUUGUACAUGUUUUCAAGCCACCAUUAUGGUAACUUUGCGAUGUUUGAUCAUUAUCAAAGUGACAGCCAACAAAGACCCUGAUGCAAGAAAUAUUCCAAAUGGAUAGCAUCAAGAUGACAUCACCAAUUUUUGAUUGAUUUUGAAUAUUUAAUGUUCCCCAUAAGUUUUGUACACGUUUUUCAACGGCCAGUCUUUGCCACCCUGGUCAAUCUGACUUAUUCCAUUUAUGUACACUUGUAGUCCACCUCGGAGAGAGGGUACCCAGACAGAAUUGUCAAAAUUACAUCAUCGGGUGUCAAGUGAUAUAAGAUUAAAGCUGAGUUUUUCUUCA